CCUACGGGUGGCAGCAGUGGGGGAUAUUGCACAAUGGGGGAAACCCUGAUGCAGCGACGCCGCGUGAGGGAAGAAUUAUUUCGGUAUGUAAAGCUCUAUCAGCAGGGAAGAAAAUGACCGUACCUGACCCAUAAUCCCCGGCUAACUACAUGCCAGCAGCCGCGGUAAUACGUAGGGGGCAGGCGUUAUCCGGAUUUACUGGGUGUAAAGGGGGCGUAGACGGUUAUGUAAGUCUGGAGUGAAGUCCCGGGGCCCAACCCCGGGACUGCUUUGGAUACUGUGUAACUGGAGUACAGGAGGGGAAGGCUGAAUUCCUGGUGUAGCGGUGAAAUGCGUAGAUAUCAGGAGGAACACCGGCGGCGAAGGCGGCCUGCUGGACUGAAACUGACGUUGAGGCUCGAAAGCGUGGGGAGCAAACAGGAUUAGAUACCCUGGUAGUC
This 440-nucleotide ribosomal RNA is filed under the name uncultured bacterium. Its description in RNAcentral is "partial 16S ribosomal RNA". It matches the Rfam family "Bacterial small subunit ribosomal RNA", at positions 338 to 795 of the family's 1533-position model. The record is from RNAcentral.